CCUACGGGAGGCUGCAGUGGGGAAUAUUGGACAAUGGGCGAAAGCCUGAUCCAGCAAUGCCGCGUGUGUGAAGAAGGCCUUCGGGUUGUAAAGCACUUUCAGUGGGGAAGAAAGCCCUGGGGCUAAUACCCUCGAGGAAGGACAUCACCCACAGAAGAAGCACCGGCUAACUCCGUGCCAGCAGCCGCGGUAAUACGGAGGGUGCGAGCGUUAAUCGGAAUUACUGGGCGUAAAGCGCGCGUAGGCGGUUUGUAAGCCGGUUGUGAAAGCCCCGGGCUCAACCUGGGAACGGCAUCCGGAACUGUCAGGCUAGAGUACAGGAGAGGAAGGUAGAAUUCCCAGUGUAGCAGUGAAAUGCGUAGAGAUCGGGAGGAAUACCAGUGGCGAAGGCAGCCUUCUGGACUGACACUGACGCUGAGGUACGAAAGCGUGGGUAGCAAACAGGAUUAGAUACCCCUGUAGUC
Molecule: ribosomal RNA, 464 nt
Filed under: Vreelandella stevensii
Lineage: Bacteria; Pseudomonadati; Pseudomonadota; Gammaproteobacteria; Oceanospirillales; Halomonadaceae
Description: partial 16S ribosomal RNA
Rfam family: Bacterial small subunit ribosomal RNA
Source: RNAcentral